AUCCUAUGACGAGGACAUUUACGAAGUAACUCCUUGAAUCACUCCCAAGCCUCAUACAAAGACUCGUCAUCCAAUUGCUGGAAAGUUGUGAUCUUGUUUCUCAACUU
Gossypium hirsutum (cotton) is the source of this 107-nucleotide non-coding RNA. The record is from Rfam. Lineage: Eukaryota; Viridiplantae; Streptophyta; Magnoliopsida; Malvales; Malvaceae.